AGACUGAACGCUGGCGGCAUGCCUAACACAUGCAAGUCGAACGGCAGCAUGUCCCCGCAAGGGGAUGAUGGCGAGUGGCGGACGGGUGAGGAAUACAUCGGAAUCUACCCCGUUGUGGGGGAUAACCCAUCGAAAGGUGGGCUAAUACCGCAUAAGACGGAGACGUGAAAGCGGGGGACCUUCGGGCCUCGCGCGAUGGGAUGAGCCGAUGUCGGAUUAGCUAGUUGGCGGGUAAGAGCCCACCAAGGCGACGAUCCGUAGCUGGUUUGAGAGGAUGAUCAGCCACACUGGGACUGAGACACGGCCCAGACUCCUACGGGAGGCAGCAGUGGGGAAUAUUGGACAAGUGGGCGCAAGCCUGAUCCAGCAAUGCCGCGUGUGUGAAGAAGGCCGUUCGGUUGUAAAGCUAACUUUUAGUCGGAGCGAAAAGGCGAACGGGGAAUAGCCGGCGUCGAUGACGUACCGAGGAA
RNAcentral lists this ribosomal RNA (470 nucleotides) under uncultured soil bacterium. RNAcentral's name for it is "bacterial SSU rRNA". It matches the Rfam family "Bacterial small subunit ribosomal RNA", at positions 26 to 485 of the family's 1533-position model. The record is from RNAcentral.